CCUACGGGUGGCAGCAGUGAGGAAUAUUGGUCAAUGGGCGCGAGCCUGAACCAGCCAAGUCGCGUGAAGGAAGACGGCCCUAUGGAUUGUAAACUUCUUUUGUCGGGGAACAAAAGGCUCCACGUGUGGCGUUUCGUGAGUACCAGAAGAAAAAGCAUCGGCUAACUCCGUGCCAGCAGCCGCGGUAAUACGGAGGAUGCGAGCGUUAUCCGGAUUUAUUGGGUGUAAAGGGUGCGUAGGUGGAAAGAUAAGUCAGUGGUGAAAGUGUGGGGCUCAAACGUAUAGGAGCCGUUGAAACUGGCUGUCUUGAGUACGGGAGAGGUAGGCGGAAUUCGUGGUGUAGCGGUGAAAUGCAUAGAUAUCACGAAGAACUCCGAUGGCGAAGGCAGCAUACUGG
Molecule: ribosomal RNA, 397 nt
Filed under: uncultured bacterium
Lineage: Bacteria
Description: partial 16S ribosomal RNA
Rfam family: Bacterial small subunit ribosomal RNA
Source: RNAcentral